CGGAGGGUGCAAGCGUUAUCCGGAUUCACUGGGUUUAAAGGGUCCGCAGGCGGUCUUAUAAGUCAGUGGUGAAAGCCUACAGCUCAACUGUAGAACUGCCAUUGAUACUGUAGGACUUGAAUUCGAUCGAAGUGGGCGGAAUGUGACAUGUAGCGGUGAAAUGCUUAGAUAUGUCACAGAACACCGAUAGCGAAGGCAGCUCACUAGGUCUGGAUUGACGCUCAGGGACGAAAGCGUGGGGAGCAAACAGGAUUAGAUACCCUGGUAGUCCACGCCGUAAACUAUCAAUACUCGUUCUUGGCUCUUCGGAGUCGGGGACUAAGCGAAAGUGAUAAGUAUUGCACCUGGGGAGUACGAUCGCAAGGUUG
This 368-nucleotide ribosomal RNA is filed under the name uncultured organism. RNAcentral's name for it is "bacterial SSU rRNA". It matches the Rfam family "Bacterial small subunit ribosomal RNA", at positions 526 to 896 of the family's 1533-position model. The record is from RNAcentral.